This is an RNA transcript of Prunus persica (peach), 1351 nucleotides long. It is a transcript of the gene named MADS-box protein JOINTLESS, with no coding region annotated. The transcript has 10 exons. The record is from RefSeq and is a predicted model, not a curated record. NCBI's taxonomy places the organism in Eukaryota, Viridiplantae, Streptophyta, Magnoliopsida, Rosales, Rosaceae.
GUCAGAUGCCACAUUUUCUCAAGUCACAUAUCAACGGUGGAGAUUGCAUUCAUCAACGUCAACAGCAUCUGUGCCCGUCGAUUUGCUCAGGUUUCUUAACCUUGUUUCCCCAGAAGAUAAUAGAAGAAUAUAUUUUUCCAUAUAAAGGAAAAUUCAUAAAUCAUUUCAUUUCCUUUCUUGACCAACAACAAGACAGCAGCAGCAGCAGCCAUUUCUCUCUCUCAUUUCGAACGCAGACCCCGAAACCCACCAACGAAGAUGAUGAGGAAUAAGAUCAAGAUCAAGAAGAUUGACUACUUGCCUGCAAGGCAGGUGACCUUCUCAAAAAGGAGAAGAGGGCUCUUCAAGAAAGCUGCAGAGCUAUCUGUUCUGUGUGAAUCUGAGGUGGCAGUUGUCAUCUUUUCUGCUACUGGCAAGCUUUUUGAUUAUUCAAGCUCAAGUACCAAGGAUGUUAUUGAAAGGUACAACGCAGACAUAAAUGGUGUCGAAAAAUUGAACAAUCAAGAGAUUGAGCUGCAGCUGGAGAAUGAAAACCACAUCAAACUGAGUAAGGAACUCGAGGAGAAGAGCCGCCAGCUGAGGCAGAUGAAAGGUGAGGAUCUUGAAGGGCUGAAUCUGGAUGAGUUGUUGAAGUUGGAACAACUGGUGGAAGCAAGCCUUGGCCGUGUCAUGGAAACUAAGGAAGAGCUGAUUAAGAGUGAGAUUAUGGCACUUGAAAGAAAGGGAACUGAGCUAGUUGAAGCUAACAACCAGCUAAGGCAGACGGUAAGCAACUACCACAAUCAUAUGGUGAUGUUAUCCGGAGGAAAUACUGGACCUGCGCUUAUGGAUCCGGAGAGGUUGAAUAAUAAUAUUGAAGGUGGAGGAGAAGAAGAAGGCAUGUCAGCUGAAUCUGCUAUCUCCACCACCUGCAACAGUGCUGUCAGUCUCUCUCUUGAAGAUGACUCCUCCGAUGAGGUCACUUUGUCUCUCAAACUGGGAAAGCUUCAGUUGAAGAAUCCCAACACUGAAAGGGGCUGAAAAUGUAGGGGAGAAUUUAUUCCACACCCACUAUGACAGCGUAACCUGCAUAAUACAAGUUAAAACAUCCCCACAAACAAAUGCGUUAAGAAGUGAAGAAAGAUGAAAGUUUACUCUCCUUAUAACUAAAUAAAUAAAGUUGAGGUAUUGUAAGAUAUCAGUAAUUGUGUGUCUUAACUCGACAUAACAUUGAAAAAUAUCAAAGGGAGGGUGACUGUGUGUUGUAUCUAAACCUAUGCGUUACAUGCAAGCUUGAAAUUGCUCUGACUUUGUAUUGUAUUUAAAACUCUGUAUUAAUGCAGCUUGCAUGGUGAGUUAUGUUGAUUUUGAA